CGUUGAAACACCGGAUCCUGUAGGACCACUAAGUUAAGCAACGUCGAGCCUGAUCAGUACCUUGAUGGGUGACCGUUUGGGAAUACCAGGUACUGUAA
Molecule: non-coding RNA, 98 nt
Organism: Acanthosepion pharaonis
Lineage: Eukaryota; Metazoa; Mollusca; Cephalopoda; Sepiida; Sepiidae
Source: the annotation of a GenBank genome assembly